Molecule: long non-coding RNA, 313 nt
Organism: Scophthalmus maximus (turbot)
Lineage: Eukaryota; Metazoa; Chordata; Actinopteri; Pleuronectiformes; Scophthalmidae
Exons: 2
Source: RefSeq, a predicted model, not a curated record
UGUGCCUGUUAUUAAGUUAUUUUAAUGUAACAGGAAAUAAUUUAAAUCUAAAUCUUUCUGUCCUAACUUUAAAAUAAAAUCUGGACGAACACGAUAAAACAUGCACAAUUAAUUUGUAAUUAAUAACAUUAUAUAAAGUUGCAGAACAAACUGUUACCUUUAGCAUAAAGGAAUCGUGAGACCUGAAUGUUUGAAUGAUGGACAAGUGGGGAGACUUCACCUGCUACAUGUGACAUGUUGAAAAGACAUUUGUACAUUUACACUGCUGUUUCUGUCGAAGUUAAAUAAUCCGUUAUAAAUUCAUUCGUUCAAA